CGGAGCCGCCGUCGCUGUGAGUCGCAGAGCUCCGACAGUCCAGUACCACUCAUCCUAAAGCUAAGUUCUCUAGUCUCGUUUGUUUUCGUUGCGUGGUUGGAUUUCGAUGGGUAAGCAUAUUGAUUUUCUCGAGCAAGUAAAUUGUCCGUUAGUAAUAUUCUACCUCUUUAAAGCAUUCCAUGAUUUGUUCCAUCCUGAUGUAGAGUAUAAUGUUGCUAAGCUUAGCCAAUAGCAUAUAUAAAGGUCCUCUGUUAUUCUAACUUGCUAUAUUUCUAUACAACUGAAACGUGAUUGAUGGGUGAUGCUUAUGUAACAUGAAUUAAAACUGAGAUAUUAAAUACCUUGAGGUAUUGGUGUUGGUUGGCUACUGUGGGUGGAUUAAGUGGAAGGAAUCUGAAAUAAAUCAUACUUAUUCAUUUCAGUAAAUGCAGGUUGAAAUUGGAAGAAGAUGAUGAUUCAAUACUAAUCUUUACCUUAAUGUUUCUGGCAGAGUAAUGAAUGAAAGUUCUCCUUUAGUAUCUCGAUUGUUGAGGUGUUUCUGGACUGAGAUAACUGAAAUGAAUUAAUAUAUUGAUGUUUCUUUGAUGAUUGCAGGUGGAACAAGAUGGUGGAGUGGAGAGCUAAGUGGAGGAUGAGGGAAUUAUUGGUGUUCUUGGAUGGAGUCGACUAAGUGGAAGAAUUAUUGUAGUGGCUUGUCAAAUAUAAUGCUUACAAAAUGUAAUGGUGACAAAAUAAGUGCUUGACAAAUUUUAGUGGUGUAAAUAAGUGGGAAACAAAGGCUUAUGGAAAGAAAAAGAAAUAAUAAAAAAAUAUGUAAAGAAGAAUUAAUGAUGUAUUUUCUAUGUCUCGAUGAUUCUGUAACUGUGAUAAAAUACUGGCUUCGAUUCUGCUUGAUACUAUUUUUACAUAAAUAUCGAUUUCGA
This 923-nucleotide long non-coding RNA is filed under the name Salvia miltiorrhiza (redroot sage). RNAcentral describes it as "long non-coding RNA (SMIL_LNC008052)". Lineage: Eukaryota; Viridiplantae; Streptophyta; Magnoliopsida; Lamiales; Lamiaceae. The record is from RNAcentral.